RNAcentral lists this non-coding RNA (26 nucleotides) under Homo sapiens (human). Lineage: Eukaryota; Metazoa; Chordata; Mammalia; Primates; Hominidae. The record is from RNAcentral.
UGAGGGCAACUUGCCAUCCCCAGAGG